UCGGAGCAAGACAUCAUCAAUAGAUACCAAAACUACAGAUUCAAGUGUAAUCGGAGCAAGACAUCAUCAAUGGAUACCAAAACUACAGUACAACACAUCUCCAUAGCCACCAGAAUGAUAGUACAACACAUUUGAAGAAUGGAAUGUUCAUAUACAGGGUAAAUUAAAGGAUGCAAUGUUCAUACACCGGUAAUGGGCAUGCGCGGUGGACAGGUCCGGUCGUCUUGAACAGCAGUGUCAGAGAGAAUGAUGACUCUCAUUGUGUUCUCAUUGAGCCCGAGUCUCAGAUGGCCUUGUGAAGCCCAAGAUGCUCUACCAGGAGAUCAAGCAUCAUUCUAACUGGGAUCCUUACAAUGCUUGUCUCGGCCUGUGUCAUAGGAAAUUUCAGAAUGGUUAUAUAAUUUUUCAGAGUACUAAAGUUGACAGCAGUUGGUUUUAUACCAUGAAAACAAAGGUCUGGGUAACUAAAGGACAACAAUCUUUGUUGUGCAAGAGUUUUAUUAGAUUCUUACUGUCCUGUUCGACAAUUGAGAUAUAGUAAUUGAAAAAAAAUCAAAUGCUACCGUGAAUCAUAAGAUAAACCAGCAGAAAAUCUAAAGCCUAAUCAUCGGACAAAGUCACACACACAAGCAGAUCGCUUCAAGUAUUGUACAAAGAACAAUGGCCUAGGAAACCAAUCCACAAUCCAGCGAGUUUGCUACAAAGAAAAUCCUAAGGACAACCUGUACACACUCAUACGCAAGUGUCAAUUCUGGUGUUUCCAACUUUAAUGAUAGGCUAAUCGAAACGAGAGGCCAAGCAGUCCUGGAUAAUCAUUUUGAAAAGUCUAAUUAGACAAUGUUAAGUGCAAGAGAGGCAAGGUGACUAAUUCAACAAUGCGCCAGGAACGGACAGAAAAAGAUGAUUGCACUCACACGUCCAUUGUAGUUCUUGUAGUCCUUGUGUGUUUUGCAUCAGGCAGACCAAUGUUACCAAGAAUGGCAUUAACCAUAGACUUUGGGCUGAUCAGCUCUUCAGUUAAUGAGACACCAAACGAUUCGAUAGGUAUAAUAUAUUUGGAAACAGGAUGUGUCAGGCCAGGCUCAAAAACAAGAAUGACACGAUAAGUAAGAAAACAACGGUGGCACAAGUUAAUAUGUGAAUAGGUGGCCUUUAGAUCGUUUAAUAGAUUCAUUAUGUGAGUAUUCAUACUAAGUAAAACUCAAUACCACAACUAAAUUAUAAUCAAUAUAUUUGGAGUAUUCUCUCUGAAAAGGGCAGCAUUUUUAUACACAGCCCGAAUAACAGUAAGAUCACUCACGUGAACCCUAGAUCGAUACUACUGAAGUACAGAAUUUAUAAGCGACCGACAGCUCGUGUUUACCUUGUUCAUUGGUGGCACCCGCCCG
Molecule: long non-coding RNA, 1388 nt
Filed under: Triticum aestivum (bread wheat)
Lineage: Eukaryota; Viridiplantae; Streptophyta; Magnoliopsida; Poales; Poaceae
Description: long non-coding RNA (TAES_LNC000882)
Source: RNAcentral